GCAUUAAUGGGGUAGUGGUAACCUGGGUUGUUGCCAUACACUACAAGGUGACAUGCUCGACCCGCCUGGGGGUUUGAUUCCCCCUUAAUGCA
This is a non-coding RNA of Mycena olivaceomarginata, 92 nucleotides long. The record is from the annotation of a GenBank genome assembly. Lineage: Eukaryota; Fungi; Basidiomycota; Agaricomycetes; Agaricales; Mycenaceae.